This 494-nucleotide ribosomal RNA is filed under the name uncultured bacterium. Its description in RNAcentral is "bacterial SSU rRNA". It matches the Rfam family "Bacterial small subunit ribosomal RNA", at positions 21 to 507 of the family's 1533-position model. The record is from RNAcentral.
GGCUCAGGAUGAACGCUAGCUACAGGCUUAACACAUGCAAGGUCGAGGGGUAGCACGGAGGAAGCUUGCUUCCUUGGGUGACGACCGGCGCACGGGUGAGUAACGCGUAUCCGACCUACCCAUAACUCGGGCACAGCCGCUCGAAAGAGUGAUUGAUUCCCGAUAUGUCAUUGGAGUAGAUUCAAUGAUGAAAGAUUCAUCGGUUAUGGAUGGGGAUGCGUAAGAUUAGGUAGUAGGCGGGGUAACGGCCCACCUAGCCGACGAUCUUUAGGGGUUCUGAGAGGAAGGUCCCCCACACUGGUACUGAGACACGGACCAGACUCCUACGGGAGGCAGCAGUGAGGAAUAUUGGUCAAUGGUCGAGAGACUGAACCAGCCAAGUAGCGUGAAGGAUGACUGCCCUACGGGUUGUAAACUUCUUUUGUUUGGGAAUAAAUGAUACUACGUGUAGUAUUUUGCAUGUACCUUACGAAUAAGCAUCGGCUAAUUCCGUG